AAAGGUAGCAUAAUCAUUAGGGAUUUAAUAGGAACCUGGUAUGAAUGGUUGGACAAAAGAAAAGCUGUUUCUAUAAUAAAUGUUGAAAUUUACUUUUGAGUGAAAAGGCUUAGAUAAAUCAAAAAGACGAUAAGACCCUAUAAAUCUUUAUAAAUAAUUUAAAUAAAAUUGAUUUAUGUUAAAUAAAAAUUAAAUUUAAUUAUUUUAUUUUGUUGGGGUGAUGUGAGCAUAAUUAGUGUAACUGCUUAAAUUGUAUACUUUAAUCUAAGAAUAAAUGUGUGAUGAUCCUUUAUAAAGAUAUAAAACUAAGUUACUUUAGGGAUAACAGCGUCAUUUCUUUUGAGAGUUCAUAUCGAAAAAGGAGAUUGCGACCUCGAUGUUGAAUUAAAAUAUCUAUAUAGCGCAGCCACUAUAAAAGAAGGUCUGUUCGACCUUUAAAUU
This 441-nucleotide ribosomal RNA is filed under the name Liocarpilodes pacificus. RNAcentral's name for it is "partial 16S ribosomal RNA". The stretch from base 321 to 441 matches the Rfam family "Bacterial large subunit ribosomal RNA", at positions 2473 to 2594 of the family's 2925-position model. Lineage: Eukaryota; Metazoa; Arthropoda; Malacostraca; Decapoda; Xanthidae. The record is from RNAcentral.